RNAcentral lists this transfer RNA (77 nucleotides) under Micromonospora andamanensis. RNAcentral describes it as "tRNA-Gly". The record is from RNAcentral. Lineage: Bacteria; Bacillati; Actinomycetota; Actinomycetes; Micromonosporales; Micromonosporaceae.
CCUCGGCGUCGUCGAUGGUGGCGGCGACGUCGGCUCCCGGUCGGCGGUGCCGAUGGCGAUCUUCGCCGCGACGAGGA